GGGCCCAUAGUUCAGCUGGCAGAAUGCCGCAUUCGCAUUGCGGAGCUCGGCGGUUCGACUCCGCCUGGGUCCA
This 73-nucleotide transfer RNA is filed under the name bacterium. RNAcentral's name for it is "tRNA-Ala". It matches the Rfam family "tRNA". From Rfam's summary of the family: Transfer RNA (tRNA) molecules are approximately 80 nucleotides in length. Their secondary structure includes four short double-helical elements and three loops (D, anti-codon, and T loops). The record is from RNAcentral.